UACGUAGGGGGCAAGCGUUGUCCGGAUUUAUUGGGCGUAAAGAGCGCGUAGGCGGCCAGGUAGGUCGGCUGUGAAAACUCGAGGCUCAACCUCGAGCUGUCGGCCGAAACCAUCUGGCUAGAGUCCGGAAGAGGAGAAUGGAAUUCCCGGUGUAGCGGUGAAAUGCGCAGAUAUCGGGAAGAACACCCGUGGCGAAGGCGGUUCUCUGGGACGGUACUGACGCUGAGACGCGAAAGCGUGGGGAGCGAACAGG
RNAcentral lists this ribosomal RNA (253 nucleotides) under uncultured bacterium. Its description in RNAcentral is "partial 16S ribosomal RNA". It matches the Rfam family "Bacterial small subunit ribosomal RNA", at positions 524 to 776 of the family's 1533-position model. The record is from RNAcentral.